Fundulus heteroclitus (mummichog) is the source of this 441-nucleotide long non-coding RNA. RefSeq lists it as uncharacterized. Lineage: Eukaryota; Metazoa; Chordata; Actinopteri; Cyprinodontiformes; Fundulidae. The transcript has 3 exons. The record is from RefSeq and is a predicted model, not a curated record.
CGGAGUUUAAAUGUUAUCACGUGACAGCCCUACCUGGGACACACCUGUCACACACUAAAACCCUCAGCCCCGCCUCUCCUGUCGCUGUCCUGCUCUGAGGGAUUCAUCACACCUGCACAGGUGCUACUGAGUAACCCAACCAGCCCAGAAGGUGCGACACUUUUCCAACCUGCUUCUGGGUGGUGUCAAGCUUUCUGAUUGGUCGACAGUCUGAUGAUGUUUAUUAAGGGAUUGGAAUUAGAACCAGCAACCCUGUAAUUAUUUAAAGACUCACAAAGUCCAAAACUGAAUCACUAAUGGAGAAGCAGUGGAAGCAGAUGGACAGGUAGGUUAGCAGGUGGACAGGUAAGCGGGUUAGCAGGUGGACAGGUAAGCAGGUUAGCAGGUGGACAGGUAAGCAGGUUAGCAGGUGGACAGGUGGAUGAGAGGACAGGUAAGCAG